UACGGAGGUUGCAAGCGUUGUUCGGAAUAACUGGGCGUAAAGGGAGCGCAGGCGGCUUGGCAAGUCUAAAGUGAAAUCCCAGGGCUCAACUCUGGACGUGCUUUGGAUACUGCCUGGCUUGAGUACGUGAGAGGAGAUUGGAAUUCCAGGUGUAGCGGUGAAAUGCGUAGAUAUCUGGAGGAACACCGGUGGCGAAAGCGGAUCUCUGGCACGUUACUGACGCUGAGGCUCGAAAGCGUGGGGAGCAAACGGG
This 253-nucleotide ribosomal RNA is filed under the name uncultured bacterium. Its description in RNAcentral is "partial 16S ribosomal RNA". It matches the Rfam family "Bacterial small subunit ribosomal RNA", at positions 524 to 776 of the family's 1533-position model. The record is from RNAcentral.